This 467-nucleotide ribosomal RNA is filed under the name uncultured bacterium. RNAcentral describes it as "partial 16S ribosomal RNA". It matches the Rfam family "Bacterial small subunit ribosomal RNA", at positions 28 to 506 of the family's 1533-position model. The record is from RNAcentral.
GACGAACGCUGGCGGCGUGCUUAACACAUGCAAGUCGAACGGAAAGGCCCUGCUUUUGUGGGGUGCUCGAGUGGCGAACGGGUGAGUAACACGUGAGUAACCUGCCCUUGACUUUGGGAUAACUUCAGGAAACUGGGGCUAAUACCGGAUAGGAGCUCCUGCUGCAUGGUGGGGGUUGGAAAGUUUCGGCGGUUGGGGAUGGACUCGCGGCUUAUCAGCUUGUUGGUGGGGUAGUGGCUUACCAAGGCUUUGACGGGUAGCCGGCCUGAGAGGGUGACCGGCCACCUGGGGAAUGGGAUACGGCCCAAACUCCUGCGGGAGGCAACAGGGGGGAAUAUGGAAAAAGGGGCGGAAGCCUGAUGCAGCAACGCCGGGUGCGGGAUGACGGCCUUGGGGUGGUAAACCGCUUUCGCGUGUGACGAAGCGUGAGGGACGGUAAUGGGUAAAGAAGCACCGGCUAACUACGU